AUUACCGAGUUAUACAACUCAUCAACCCUGUGAACAUACCUAUAACGUUGCCUCGGCGGGAACAGACGGCCCCGUAACACGGGCCGCCCCCGCCAGAGGACCCCCUAACUCUGUUUCUAUAAUGUUUCUUCUGAGUAAACAAGCAAAUAAAUUAAAACUUUCAACAACGGAUCUCUUGGCUCUGGCAUCGAUGAAGAACGCAGCGAAAUGCGAUAAGUAAUGUGAAUUGCAGAAUUCAGUGAAUCAUCGAAUCUUUGAACGCACAUUGCGCCCGCCAGUAUUCUGGCGGGCAUGCCUGUUCGAGCGUCAUUACAACCCUCAGGCCCCCGGGCCUGGCGUUGGGGAUCGGCGGAAGCCCCCUGCGGGCACAACGCCGUCCCCCAAAUACAGUGGCGGUCCCGCCGCAGCUUCCAUUGCGUAGUAGCUAACACCUCGCAACUGGAGAGCGGCGCGGCCACGCCGUAAAACACCCAACUUCUGAAUGUUGACCUCGAAUCAGGUAGGAAUACCCGCUGAACUUAAGCAUAUCAAUAAGCGGAGGAAAAGAAACCAACAGGGAUUGCCCCAGUAACGGCGAGUGAAGCGGCAACAGCUCAAAUUUGAAAUCUGGCUCUCGGGCCCGAGUUGUAAUUUGUAGAGGAUGCUUUUGGUGAGGUGCCUUCCGAGUUCCCUGGAACGGGACGCCAUAGAGGGUGAGAGCCCCGUCUGGUUGGACACCGAUCCUCUGUAAAGCUCCUUCGACGAGUCGAGUAGUUUGGGAAUGCUGCUCUAAAUGGGAGGUAUAUGUCUUCUAAAGCUAAAUACCGGCCAGAGACCGAUAGCGCACAAGUAGAGUGAUCGAAAGAUGAAAAGAACUUUGAAAAGAGAGUUAAAAAGUACGUGAAAUUGUUGAAAGGGAAGCGCUUGUGACCAGACUUGGGCUUGGUUGAUCAUCCGGGGUUCUCCCCGGUGCACUCUUCCGGCUCAGGCCAGCAUCAGUUCGCCCUGGGGGAUAAAGGCUUCGGGAAUGUGGCUCUCUCCGGGGAGUGUUAUAGCCCGCUGCGUAAUACCCUGUGGCGGACUGAGGUC
This 1068-nucleotide ribosomal RNA is filed under the name fungal sp. Its description in RNAcentral is "eukaryotic LSU rRNA". The stretch from base 486 to 1068 matches the Rfam family "Eukaryotic large subunit ribosomal RNA", at positions 1 to 595 of the family's 3401-position model. Lineage: Eukaryota; Fungi. The record is from RNAcentral.